AGAGUUCGCAGGUCUGGGGCUCUCUUCCCAGAGAGCUCGUAGGGGAGGACAGUCAAGGGACUCAAGCGUCUCUCUUGACUCCCCUUCUCUCGCUGUGCAGUGGCGGCGCCGAGGGGUCGACGCUCAGGGCUAAUCUCUAUGAGUCACCCUCGAGGCCCCGGGUAAUAUUGGGUGGAUCACAAGAACUAAUCUUUCAUGAUUUGGAAACCGGAAGGAAAGAAGCACUUUUGUAGCUGACUUACCUCAAUGACAUGACCAGUGUCUGAGCCUACAACUGCGCUAUCUUCCCUGGAUUUUUCUUCACCUUUUCCUUACUCAUGAGCCAGGUCUUCAGAUCCUCAUAUUAGGUUCUGCUUCUGGUGGGAGUCAAACCAAGACGCCCACAUGAUGCAAAGUGGACUCCGAGCAUGGCUGUGGAGCACUCACUCUGAGAAGAAAGGAAAAGUCCUCUGGGCCUUCUAAUCUGUCACUGAGGCUGCUCUCUGGACCAUCUUUCAAGACUUGACUUAUACAUCACUCCUCAAUUGCAUAUGCUUGGCCUUCCUUCCUUGAGACGCUGGCUAUUCUGUUCUCUGAGCUUUGCCAAAAAGCUUUCAUUUCUUAACACUCAAACUAUAUUAUAGUUUAUUUUCUUGGUUGUCUACCCUACCCCUCAAUCCUGAUCAUGGGCUCCUUGAGGGCAGAGCCACGUCUUCUUCACUGCUAUGCCCCAAGCCCCUGGCCAACUUUGCGUCUCAUCCUGGGCACAUGAAUACUACUUGUUAAUGAAUACAGGCACCAAAGGCUAUAGGGGCGACGGGGCUCAUUGAGCAGCUCUCAAUGAGCCCUGCUGUCUACAGCUUCUCCUGGGGCCCUGGGAGGAAUCCAAAGGAGGCGACCCUUGAUAAUGCCACUCAGGGCUGGCUCUAGGGUUGACCAUGUUAUAAAUGUGGUCCCCUACAUGGUGAGGUGGCAUUUGACCCAUUGCCAGCUCUCCUUCUCCUGCUUUUUUACAACCCUAGGUUGCCUCAUGCCUCUUUGGAAGCUAGAAGUUGACCAAAUUUUCCCUCAGCAAACUUUUACUUCUUAGCAAAAACACAGAUGGCUCCCUGAAUACCCAGACAUGUGAAAACUUUGGUGGUUGUUGAGCAGCAUUAUCAAAGCUGCACCUGUGCUCCAAUACCACAGUCUCCCGGUCCAUCAGGAACACCCCUCGGGGAUCCUGCUCCCUCUUCCUCUUUCUCCAAAUUCCUGCUCUUCCAUUAUUGUGCAGACAACUAACUCUCACUGAGUGAUCCCAGAGCAGUGACAAUUCCCCGAUCUUUAUUUCCCCAACACUGAACACACGCAGCAUAUACAGCAGAUGCCUAAUCAAGGUUUAUAAAGUGAAAAUGCAUUUGGGGGAAACCCAUUAACUGCUAUAAGCAGCGUCAAGACUGAAAGCGGAGUUACUGUGGUUUACCCAAACCGCAGUGCCCCUAAGACUGACCCCAACUGUGCACGAACAGGCUCCUGAAUCAACCCUUCUCCUGAGGCAUAAACACAACUGCCAAAUAUAGCCCAGUGGGCAUUCACUUUCUAAGAUGACCUCCACCUUCGGAACGCUUCUAUUUGAUGUUUCUGCCCAACUGAGAUUGAGCAAUGCCUGUAGGAAUAAUUUGCUUCCUGCUAAACAUUUCAGACAUCCCUCAAGACCUCUGAGGCUGGCAUGGACAGUUUAGCAUGUCAAGGGCUAAAAAUUCCUCAGAAAACCAGAAGUUUUCCACCCAAGUCCUUUUUAAAAAAUUUUAAAUCUUUAUCCUGAGAGAUGCAUAGAGUUUUGAGCAGAAUGUGAAAUCUUUUUUUGGGUGUGUGAUGCUGUGGAACUAAGUUUUAUGUUUAUAUACAAUUGAAAAAUUACCUAUGGGUGCCUAAUUUUACAGAAAAUUAUGUACAAAAUCAUGUUUUGAAAACAAAAUUCCUUUGCAAAUUUAUUAUGAAUGCUCAUAAUCCAGUUGGAAACUAUUUUGUGAAAUAGAGCAUCUUGUAGUUGUUUUUAUAAUAUCCUACACAUUUAUCACUUUGCAAGUCUGAAUUUUUGUUUGUUUUUUGUUUGUUUGUUUUUAUGGUAGAGAGACACUUAUAAUGCAGUAGUUGAAAACCUGCAAAUUGGAGUCAUGCUGUUUGGAUUUGAGGACCAGCUCUGCCUACAUUGGCUGUGGGGUCUUGAACAAGUCACUUAACUUCCCUGUCCAUCAAUGUUCUUAUCUGCAAAACAAAAUAAUGACAGUGUCUGGUAAUGCUGUUGGAGGAAAA
Homo sapiens (human) is the source of this 2274-nucleotide long non-coding RNA. Ensembl annotates it as EIF1B antisense RNA 1. Its record names the gene EIF1B-AS1. The record is from Ensembl. NCBI's taxonomy places the organism in Eukaryota, Metazoa, Chordata, Mammalia, Primates, Hominidae.